CAAAUGGAGAGUUUGAUCCUGGCUCAGGAUGAACGCUGGCGGCAUGCCUAAUACAUGCAAGUCGAACGGGAGGAAGGAAAGCUUGCUUUCCUGAAUCUAGUGGCGAACGGGUGAGUAACACGUAGGUAACCUGCCCAUGUGCCCGGGAUAACUUCUGGAAACGGAUGCUAAAACCGGAUAGGUAGCAGACAAGCAU
Molecule: ribosomal RNA, 196 nt
Filed under: Holdemanella porci
Lineage: Bacteria; Bacillati; Bacillota; Erysipelotrichia; Erysipelotrichales; Erysipelotrichaceae
Description: partial 16S ribosomal RNA
Rfam family: Bacterial small subunit ribosomal RNA
Source: RNAcentral